This 384-nucleotide ribosomal RNA is filed under the name uncultured bacterium. Its description in RNAcentral is "bacterial SSU rRNA". It matches the Rfam family "Bacterial small subunit ribosomal RNA", at positions 31 to 415 of the family's 1533-position model. The record is from RNAcentral.
GAACGCUGGCGGCAUGCCUUACACAUGCAAGUCGAACGGCAGCACGGGGGCAACCCUGGUGGCGAGUGGCGAACGGGUGAGUAAUAUAUCGGAACGUACCCUAGAGUGGGGGAUAACGUAGCGAAAGUUACGCUAAUACCGCAUACGAUCUAAGGAUGAAAGUGGGGGAUUCGCAAGAACCUCAUGCUCGUGGAGCGGCCGAUAUCUGAUUAGCUAAUUGGUAGGGUAAAAGCCUACCAAGGCAUCGAUCAGUAGCUGGUCUGAGAGGACGACCAGCCACACUGGAACUGAGACACGGUCCAGACUCCUACGGGAGGCAGCAGUGGGGAAUUUUGGAUAAUGGGCGAAAGCCUGAUCCAGCAAUGCCGCGUGAGUGAAGAAGGC